AACGAACGCUGGCGGCAGGCUUAACACAUGCAAGUCGAACGCGUGCAGCAAUGCACGAGUGGCGCACGGGUGAGUAACGCGUGGAUAUCUGCCUUUUGGUUCGGCAUAACCCCGGGAAACUGGGGCUAAUACCGGAUGGUUCCUACGGGAUAAAGAUUUAUCGCCAAAAGAUGAGUCCGCGUCCGAUUAGCUAGUUGGUGAGGUAAUGGCUCACCAAGGCGACGAUCGGUAGCUGGUCUGAGAGGACGAUCAGCCACACUGGGACUGAGACACGGCCCAGACGCCUACGGGAGGCAGCAGUGGGGAAUAUUGGACAAUGAGGGCAACCCUGAUCCAGCCAUGCCGCGUGAGUGAUGAAGGCCUUCGAGUGGUAAAGCUCUUUUGGCGGGGACGAUGAUGACGGUACCCGCAGAAUAAGCCCCGGCUAACUUCGUG
This 435-nucleotide ribosomal RNA is filed under the name uncultured bacterium. Its description in RNAcentral is "partial 16S ribosomal RNA". It matches the Rfam family "Bacterial small subunit ribosomal RNA", at positions 29 to 507 of the family's 1533-position model. The record is from RNAcentral.